GGGCUCCCUGGUGAAUCAUGAUAACCUCUCGAAUCGCACGGCCUUGCGCUGGCGAUGGUUCAUUCAAAUUUCUUCCCUAUCAACUUUCGAUGUUUGGGUUUUGGCCAAACAUGGUUGCAACGGGUAACGGAGGGUUAGGGCUCGACCCCGGAGAAGGAGCCUGAGAGACGGCUACUACAUCCAAGGAAGGCAGCAGGCGCGCAAAUUACCCAAUCCCGACACGGGGAGGUAGUGACAAUAAAUACUGAUAUAGGGCUCUUUUGGGUCUUAUAAUUGGAAUGAGUACAAUUUAAAUCCCUUAACGAGGAACAAUUGGAGGGCAAGUCUGGUGCCAGCAGCCGCGGUAAUUCCAGCUCCAAUAGCGUAUAUUAAAGUUGUUGUGGUUAAAAAGCUCGUAGUUGAACCUUGGGCCUGGCUGGCCGGUCCGCCUCACCGCGUGCACUGGUCCGGCCGGGUCUUUCCCUCUGCGGAACCCCAUGCCCUUCACUGGGCGUGGCGGGGAAACAGGACUUUUACUUUGAAAAAAUUAGAGUGCUCCAGGCAGGCCUAUGCUCGAAUACAUUAGCAUGGAAUAAUGAAAUAGGACGCGCGGUUCUAUUUUGUUGGUUUCUAGGACCGCCGUAAUGAUUGAUAGGGACAGUCGGGG
RNAcentral lists this ribosomal RNA (646 nucleotides) under Ophiocordyceps unilateralis. Its description in RNAcentral is "SSU rRNA". It matches the Rfam family "Eukaryotic small subunit ribosomal RNA", at positions 236 to 887 of the family's 1831-position model. Lineage: Eukaryota; Fungi; Ascomycota; Sordariomycetes; Hypocreales; Ophiocordycipitaceae. The record is from RNAcentral.